UACCAGCACCCCGAGUGGUCGGGACGUUUAUUGGGCCUAAAGCAUCCGUAGCCGGUUCUACAAGUCUUCCGUUAAAUCCAGCUGCUUAACAGAUGGGCUGCGGAGGAUACUAUGGAGCUAGGAGGCGGGAGAGGCAAGCGGUACUCGAUGGGUAGGGGUAAAAUCCGUUGAUCCAUUGAAGACCACCAGUGGCGAAGGCGGCUUGCCAGAACGCGCUCGACGGUGAGGGAUGAAAGCUGGGGGAGCAAACCGG
Molecule: ribosomal RNA, 253 nt
Filed under: uncultured bacterium
Lineage: Bacteria
Description: partial 16S ribosomal RNA
Rfam family: Archaeal small subunit ribosomal RNA
Source: RNAcentral